Nelumbo nucifera (sacred lotus) is the source of this 483-nucleotide long non-coding RNA. RefSeq lists it as uncharacterized. The record is from RefSeq and is a predicted model, not a curated record. NCBI's taxonomy places the organism in Eukaryota, Viridiplantae, Streptophyta, Magnoliopsida, Proteales, Nelumbonaceae.
UAACCCAUUUACUAUUAAUAUUUCGGAGUUUUCCUGACAAUUUUGGAAGAUGUUUCCAAUGCACUCUGAGAUAUGCAUGUGGGGCGCAGAUUUGAUUUUCUCUCUUCUUAUGGUUGAUUGCAUCAAAGUCAAACCAAGCAAAGAGGUUACGGAGUCAUUCAAAUUGCUGAUGCGUUGUUCCCAUGAAUGUCAAAAUAUUGUUUUUUGGACUGCUAUGAUAUCCGUGUACACUUAGAAUGGGCUCACAGAACGAGCAAUGAGUUUUGUUUUUGGAGAUUUUGGUGGAUUCGAAGGUAAGCACCAACUGGGCAACUAUCAUAUGACACGAGUGUCCUUCCGGCGCGUUUUCGUUUUUCUGCUCUGGAAUGGUACAAAAGAAGUAAAAUAAGACCUAAAGCAGAAUACAGAUAAACCAAAACAAUAUUGAUGAAGGAAGAUUUGGCCCGACCUCGUAACCACUCAACACGUGGCAAAGGCAACAGC